Molecule: ribosomal RNA, 400 nt
Filed under: uncultured bacterium
Lineage: Bacteria
Description: bacterial SSU rRNA
Rfam family: Bacterial small subunit ribosomal RNA
Source: RNAcentral
UGGGGAAUUUUGGACAAUGGGCGCAAGCCUGAUCCAGCCAUGCCGCGUGAGUGAAGAAGGCCUUCGGGUUGUAAAGCUCUUUCGGCCGGGACGAAAUCGCUUCCGCUAAUACCGGGAGUGGAUGACGGUACCGGAAUAAGAAGCACCGGCUAACUACGUGCCAGCAGCCGCGGUAAUACGUAGGGUGCGAGCGUUAAUCGGAAUUACUGGGCGUAAAGCGUGCGCAGGCGGUUCCGCAAGUCAGAUGUGAAAUCCCCGGGCUUAACCUGGGAACUGCGUUUGAAACUACGGAGCUAGAGUACGGCAGAGGGAGGUGGAAUUCCAAGUGUAGCAGUGAAAUGCGUAGAUAUUUGGAGGAACACCGAUGGCGAAGGCAGCCUCCUGGGCUAGUACUGACGCU